GCUGGGCGUGGUGGUGCACGCCUGUGAUCCUAGCAGCUCUGGAAGCUGAGGCAGGAGGAUUAUGAGUUCAAAGUCAGCCUCAGCAACUUAGUGAGGACCUAAGCAACUCAGUGAGACCCUGUCUCUA
RNAcentral lists this small RNA (127 nucleotides) under Marmota monax (woodchuck). Lineage: Eukaryota; Metazoa; Chordata; Mammalia; Rodentia; Sciuridae. The record is from RNAcentral.